GUUUGAUCCUGGCUCAGAUUGAACGCUGGCGGCAUGCUUUACACAUGCAAGUCGGACGGCAGCACAGAGAAGCUUGCUUCUUGGGUGGCGAGUGGCGAACGGGUGAGUAACAUAUCGGAACGUACCGAGUAGUGGGGGAUAACUGAUCGAAAGAUCAGCUAAUACCGCAUACGUCUUGAGAGGGAAAGCAGGGGACCUUCGGGCCUUGCGCUAUUCGAGCGGCCGAUAUCUGAUUAGCUAGUUGGUGGGGUAAAGGCCUACCAAGGCGACGAUCAGUAGCGGGUCUGAGAGGAUGAUCCGCCACACUGGGACUGAGACACGGCCCAGACUCCUACGGGAGGCAGCAGUGGGGAAUUUUGGACAAUGGGCGCAAGCCUGAUCCAGCCAUGCCGCGUGUCUGAAGAAGGCCUUCGGGUUGUAAAGGACUUUUGUCAGGGAAGAAAAGGCUGUUGCUAAUAUCAGCGGCUGAUGACGGUACCUGAAGAAUAAGCACCGGCUAACUACGUGCCAGCAGCCGCGGUAAUACGUAGGGUGCGAGCGUUAAUCGGAAUUACUGGGCGUAAAGCGAGCGCAGACGGUUACUUAAGCAGGAUGUGAAAUCCCCGGGCUCAACCUGGGAACUGCGUUCUGAACUGGGUGACUAGAGUGUGUCAGAGGGAGGUAGAAUUCCACGUGUAGCAGUGAAAUGCGUAGAGAUGUGGAGGAAUACCGAUGGCGAAGGCAGCCUCCUGGGAUAACACUGACGUUCAUGCUCGAAAGCGUGGGUAGCAAACAGG
RNAcentral lists this ribosomal RNA (776 nucleotides) under Neisseria cinerea. Its description in RNAcentral is "bacterial SSU rRNA". It matches the Rfam family "Bacterial small subunit ribosomal RNA", at positions 11 to 776 of the family's 1533-position model. The record is from RNAcentral. Lineage: Bacteria; Pseudomonadati; Pseudomonadota; Betaproteobacteria; Neisseriales; Neisseriaceae.